Molecule: transfer RNA, 30 nt
Filed under: Pelekium atlanticum
Lineage: Eukaryota; Viridiplantae; Streptophyta; Bryopsida; Hypnales; Thuidiaceae
Description: partial tRNA-Phe
Source: RNAcentral
AAGGCCGGAAUAGCUCAGUCGGUAGAGCAG